CGGUUGAUCCUGCCGGACCCUAUUGCUAUCGGGGUAAGACUAAGCCAUGCUAGUGGAGCGCCCCUAGCUAGUUGGGAGCGCCGCGACCGGCUCAGUUACACGUAGUUAAUCUACCCUUAGGAUGGACAUAACCCCGGGAAACUGGGGCUAAUGUCCAAUAGAUGCAAGGUCCUGGAAUGGUCUUGCAUCGAAAUGUUGUUGAAGACAUGCUCUUCGACAACGCCUAAGGAUGAGACUGCGGCCGAUCAGGUUGUUGGUGGGGUAACGGCCCACCAAACCUAUAACCGGUACGGGCCCUGAGAGGGGGAGCCCGGAGAUGGGAACUGAGACAAGGUCCCAGGCCCUACGGGGCGCAGCAGGCGCGAAAACUCCACAAUGCGCGAAAGCGUGAUGGGGUUACCCCGAGUGCCUUCCUUUGAGGAGGGCUUUUCCCCAGUGUAAGGAGCUGGGGGAAUAAAGGGGGGGCAAGACUGGUGUCAGCCGCCGCGGUAAUACCAGCCCCCUGAGUGAUAGGGACGAUUAUUUAGCCUAAAGCGUCCGUAGCCGGCCUAGCAAGUCUUUUGUUAAAUCUAACGACUUAAUCGUUAGACCGCAGAAGAUACUGCUAGGCUAGAGGGCGGAAGAGGUUGACGGUAUUCCCGGGGUAGGGGUGAAAUCCUAUAAUCCCGGGAGGACCACCAGUGGCGAAGGCUGUCAACUAGUACGCGCCUGACGGUGAGGGACGAAAGCUGGGGUAGCGAACCGGAUUAGACACCCGGGUAGUCCCAGCUGUAAACGAUGCGGGCUAGGUGUUGGGGCAGCUACGAGCUGUCCCGGUGCCGCAGAGAAGUCGCUAAGCCCGCCGCUUGGGAAGUACGGCCGCAAGGCUGAAACUUAAAGGAAUUGGCGGGGGAGCAC
This 897-nucleotide ribosomal RNA is filed under the name uncultured archaeon. RNAcentral describes it as "bacterial SSU rRNA". It matches the Rfam family "Archaeal small subunit ribosomal RNA", at positions 5 to 879 of the family's 1478-position model. The record is from RNAcentral.